AGUAAUAAUAAAUUCUCGAUGAUUCAAUUAAAUUAAUAUAAUUGGCUAAAUCUAAACUUAUUUUUUAAAUCAUUAUAAUUAAGUUUUACUGUCCAAGUUAAUUGGUUAAAUAAUUAUAUAUCGCUGAUAUAGUAAUAAUGUAAUAAUAUCAUUCAUCGAUGACGCAAUAAUUACAAAGUUACGGCAUUACUGCUUUAUCCGUGAAACAUUAGUAUGCAAUCAACUAAAAUGAACCGCAGAACUUAAUUGUGAUAAAUUAAAAAAUGUGAGCCAAAAACUAUAAUAAAUUAAAGUUUGAAAAUAAAAAUGUCAUGCACCGUAAAGUUGAUAGAUCGAAAGUGCAAUUUACUCUUAAUAAUUUUAGUCAUCUUUAGCAGAUAAGAUUAAAGUUAUUAAUAACUAAUAACUAACAUAAUUAUUAAAUUUAACAAAAUCUUUAACUUAAUUAGUUAUAAUAACUGAAAAAAAAAUGGAAGUGGAGAUAGAUGUCAAUAAAAAUAAAAUAAGAUUGAUGAGCCUAUUUCAAAUUGGUUUAUUGUUUAGGGGUGUUCCAGCACACUUUUACCAUAAUUAAGUAUAUCAUUUGUUAAUGUCACGUCUCAUCUAUACCUAUCUCUAUAUUAUUUCUUCUAAAGUUGUCAUUGCCGCAUGACAAUUUUUCUUUCAUAGUUGAGUAUGGGUUCCACCCCGAACCAGCUCAAAUCCUUCCUUUUCUUCUUCCUUCGACUGUUACUUUCUUUCAACAGCAAAACGAAUCUCAUCCUUCAUUAUCGUUUUUUUUAUCAAUAUUUUCUCUUUUUUUUUUGUCGAAGUUUUCUAUAUUUUCUCAAAUUAUCUAUCUGUCGCAUCGCACGGGUUACUACACUAAUGUAUGAUUAAAUAACUAGUUGAGAUUGUAUCAUAGUUUCUUAAUUUCCUGCUUAAACUACACCAUUAGAAAUAGAAAAAAAUAUAGAAAAUGUCCCACAAUUGUUUCAAUGGGUGGGAUUCAAUCCGGGUGUGGAUACGAAUAAAAAUGUUAAGUAGGAUCAGGUUAGGAUUACCUACUUCACUAAGCUUGAAAUGGUUUGGUUAAUGCUUUCGGUGGUUGUUUGGAUAAAUAUUAUUAUAAAUACAGUGUAAUAAUUGUUACAUAUAGUUAAAAAAUACAGUGUAAUAAUUGUUACAUAUAGUUAUGUAUAAAAGUGCUAAAAAAACUCAAAUAAUGUUUAAACUCCCGGACGAGGGGUAUAAAAUUUACAAGCCUUUUUUCACGUGUACUAAUAGCAUUUUCUAUUUAUAAAAUAUUAUAAAUAUUCAUUUUAAAUUGUCACUAUCAGUUUUACUAUUAUAAAUAAAUGAAUUGUAUCAAAAAUGGCCUCAUCACGCUAACUAGAGUCUUCAACUAAUUUACUCCAAGUUAUUCUUAAUUGUAAAUAAUUAUGUCAUAUUAUGUGAGAUCAAGAAAUUAAUUUUUCAUCAAAAACUGACAAGAUUUUUUGUUGUGAUUUAGUUUAUAACUAUCUUUUUUUGCCUACUUAAGUUUUUUUUUUUAGGAAAAACUUCAAAUACCCUCCUUGGGGUUUCUAUUUUUUUCAUUUUAAUACCAUAUGGUUUAAAGUGUAUCAAGUUAGUAUCCUGUGGUUUUGUACUUUUUCACUUUAGUACCCUGUGGUUUCGCACUUUAUCACUUUAGUACCAUAUGGUUUCGCACUUUAUCACUUUAGUAUCCUAUAGUUUAAAAACCAUAUGGUACUAACUUCAUAAAAAAAUAAAAUUAUAGGGUACUAACUUGAUACAAAAAAAAAAUCACAGAGUACUAACUUGAUACACUUUAAACCACAGGAUACUAAAGUGAUAAAGUGAGAAACCACAGAGUACUAACUUGAUAUACUUUAAGCCAUAUGGUACUAAAAUGAAAAAGUGUGAAACCACAAAGGUGUUUUUUUGAAGUUUUUCCUUUUUUUAAAGAAAAACUCAAAUGGUUCUCGUGUUAAUCUUAAUUAAUAAUUAAUUAUAACUAAGUAUAUAUUAUACUUUUUUUGUGAAUCUAUUUUCCACUUUGUCCAGAUUAGUAUAUUUUUUUGUUAACUAUUUGUGUAGUUUAGGUUGUUCUAAUUAGUUAGUGUCAAUUUAAUAUAAUUUCAGCUGCAUUUAUAAUAUUUUCAAGCAUAAUCAGGGCUUUUUUGCACUUGAACCUCUGAAAAAAAAUUAUUUUUAAAAAUAAUCCCAGCAAAUUUAUAUUUGCAAAAAUGGUCAUGCCCCUGCCACGCAAGCGCCACGUCAGCGCCACGCGGGCGGGGCUGGGGACGGUAGUUAAGUUAAACACGGUGAACCAUUCACCGUGUCAAAACAUGGUGAAUGGUUCACCGCGUUUAAAGCUAGUACGUAUUUUUUACAAUAUAAAUAUUGAAAAGAGGAAUAGGGAGUAGGUGUCACGCCCCGAGCUCCGCCAAUUUGGUCGGAUUCGAGCACAUGACAGACGCCGAACAGACAGUACCUCCCCUGUCCGCCCAAGGCUCUAACAACAAGUAUAUUACAAGCAAAUCACUAAAGAAAAUUGCAAGAUAUACAAGGUGUGCAGAAGGGCAAACAACAACCACAAGUAAAAGCAUCGAAACUAUCUAAGCAUUCAACAUACAAGUCAUUUGAUUUUAUUUGAAUCAAACACAAGUUGUCUAAUACAUUUAUUUCACACAUUUGCCUUUAACCAAAAUACAUUGCUUACAUCAUUCUUACAUUAGCCAAAAUAUAAUUUACAUUUCUUGCUUUUCAUCAUAUACAGUUCAACAUCUACAGUUGAGUACGCCAAAGUAUAGGGUAUGCCUACAAACUCCGAGGCCGCUAUCUAUGGCGCGACACCCUUGCCUCGAUCCUCCGCCGCCCCGCUCGCGCACGGAUCUGCAGAGUUAGUGGUAAUGAGAAUUAGAACGAAGUUCCCAGUGGGUUCGGUCGCCGACCACGCCGAUUCGCCCACUAUGUCUAAUUCAUGCAUAUGUAUUUCAAUAAAGAAGGAUAACAAACUAACUAAUGCACUUCUAAUACAAUGCCUGCAAUAAAGCAAAUCACAGAUAAAUAUUCAUAUUCAAUACAUGAUGAUUAUGCAUGCAUGUCCUUUUUACUUUUCUUUGGCCUUUACCCAAUCAACCCGGGGUGCUCCUGGUUUACCCCAACUCACAGUCCACAUGUCCCGUCUAACGGGGGAGGCACAAGGCACAACCGCCCGAAGGAUCUUCGCCGGGCACUUUCACCCGUGAUGCUUUUUCACUCCGGAGUACACCGCUUGUGGAGGAGCGACCUCCCACAAGCCGGAACCAAUUCAUGUGAGUAUGAUCCCAUCCUCAAUUUGAGGAGGCAUGGCCAAACGGUCUCAAUGCCACAAAAGCUAAAUCCUGUUUAAUCAUUUUCUUUAACCAUGUUGCCACAAUACCGAUGAUAGGUCUUUACCUAAUCAUGUAUGUCACUUUACUAAGCCACAAUGGUCCUGAUGCCAUAAUACACAUAAUGCCACUUUGGUUAAACUUUGUUUAACUAUACUCAUUUCAACGCCAAUCGAGUCACUAUAGUCAAUGUCACCGUUAUUUACUAUGGUCAUAGUCUUUUAUCACAUUCACAUGUAUAUAGGGUUAUUCGUUUUCUUGUUCACAUGUGCUUAUAUCAUUCACAAUAAUCUUAAGCAGAUAAUUGAUGCAAUCAACAUAUACCAUUCCUUACCUACAUGCAAGAAUGCAAUAAUACCAGCAUGCUCAAAAAUAGUGACAUAGACAUAGAAAGAGACUCGGUGUUUUCAGAUAGCACCCCCCACCUUUGUGUGAUACUAGGAUGCCGUGGUUCUGUUUUCACAAUUUUUAUACACUUUCACCGCAAGCUGCGGCAAUCUGUACCGACUCGGCUUCUUUUUCCAAUAUCUUCGCGCACGCUCGUCGUAUCGCCGAACCGAGCGCACCGAUGUAUUCGUUGACCUACCAAUUAGGUUAAAAAGAGAUCAAUCCCAAGAUUGAACCUCAAAAUCCAAAAAUCCUAAAGUUAGGUCCUUGUACAACACCAUCUUCCCCAACUAAGUCCCUAGCAUGAAUAACAUGGGGGAAAAACCUCUAUUCAUCUCCUAGAAGCAUGCUAAAAGAAAACAAGUUCAAAACCCUAGCUCAAAAUAUGGAACUCACCUUUAGAGUCUAAAGUUUUCCUCCAAAAGCUCUUGCACAAGCUAGCCACCACCUUGGGAAGCUUCUUCUCCAAGCUUGCUCCUCCAAAGCCCUCUUGGUCCAAACCCUAGGGAGAGAGGGAGAGAGAGAGGAGAAGUUUUUAGAGAGAGAGAGGGAAAGGUUUUAGGGUUAGGGUGUGAGAGAAAUGGGAGCCAACCCCAUCUCUCACCUCUAUACAUCCAACCCAUGUCACUUUUGCACAUAAGCCCCUCACUUUUUCAUUUUUGCAAACAGCCCUCACUCGGCAAUUUCGGGCUCGGGGACCGGUCUCUCCCUUCAGGGACCGGUUCCCGAGAGCUAUCGUGCAAUCUGCGCAGAAGGGGACUGGUCUCCCCCCGAUGCAACCGGUCUCUCGGGACCGGUCUCUCCCCCGCGGACCGGUUCCCGAGAGCUUAAUUUUCAGGACUUAGCCGAUUUUUCACCUCGUUCGGCUGAUCAACGUUCGGGAACCGGUCUCUCCCCGGGAGACCGGUCCUCGGGAGACCGGUCCUCACCUGAGAGACCGGUCCCCGAGAGCUUAAUUUUCAGGACUUAGCCGAUUUUUCACCUCGUUCGGCUGAUCAACGUUCGGGAACCGGUCUCUCACCCAAGGGACCAGUCCCCGAGAGUAAAAUUUCUGGAACUUCUCCAGAAUUGUAGUUUCACUCUCUCGGUUCCCUUUAUACUUUACAUAUAGGUUCCAAUGCACUUCUAGCCUAUAGUAACUCAUUCCUUUCCGCGUUCCGCACAUUUCGACGGAACUCGGCACGACUUACGGGGAAUCGCUAUAUUACAGUAGGAAUGUCAAUGGGUAUGGAUAUCCGAAAUAUUAUUCGAAUCCAAACCCGAAUAAAUUAUAUAUAUACAUAAUUUAUUUUUAUUUAUUUAUACAAUAUAUAAAAUAUUUAAUAAUUUUUAUUCCUUAGAUUUUUAUCCAACGGUAUAGAUUUUUAAAACCCGCUGGGUUCAAGUUCGGGUUUCGAGUUUUUGGUCGGAUAUGGAUAUGGGUAUGAAUUUUUAAAAUCCGUCGGGUUUGGGUUUUAUUUUGAUUUUCGGGUUCGAAUUUGAAUUUUUGAAAAAGAGAAAAAAAAAGGAAUACAAAUAUGAAACACAGUGAACCAUUCACUGUGUUUGAACACGGUGAAUGGUUCACCAUGUUCAACUUAACACACUGGCCCCGGUCCUACCCGCGUGGCACUGACGUGGCGCCUGCGUGGUAAGUUCAGAACUAUUUUUGCAAAUUAAAUUUUGAUAGGGUUAUUUUUUAAAUAAAAAUUUGUCAUGGGGCUAAAUGCAAAAAAAGUCCUAAAAUUUUUAAGUUAACUAAGAUGACAUAGGUAUAUAAUGGAUGAUGGGCAAAAUAAAAAUUUUAUUUAGUUUUUAAAUAAAUUGUUAUCCAUAUGGGUAUUAAUGAAGAUGUGUUUUCAAAUUAGAGUGAUAUUUUUUAAAUUCCCUCUCUACACCUGCACCAUUAAUAAUACUAGUUAAGGUCCUCAUGCGAUGCUGCGGGUAGUUAUUUUAAAAUUUAAUUUUAAAAAUUAGUUAUAAAAAUCAAUUUCAGAAUAAUUAUGAAAUAUUACAGACAAAUUACGAAAUAAUUUUAAAUAAAUGCAGCUUUCUUCCCUAAUAUAGAAUAUAUAAGGAGCUCUCUCAACAACAAGAUAUUUUGAAAUAGUUCUUCAACUUUAUUAAAUAUUUUCUCAUCUUGUUCUCUUUUGUUUGAUUUGAUAUUACUAAUUUUGUAAGGUUAUCUUUAAUAUUUCUAAUUUUUUACGAGUACGAAUGAAAUUAUCUAUUAUCCCAUACUAAUUAUUCCAAACAUGACCGCAUGUCUAAGGAAUUGAGAAAUAAUAAAUGAUGCAAUAAAUACAUCAAAAAAUUUUAAUAGGCAUAGUAGUCCCCUAUUAGUUAGUGAAAUAAUUUUUAGUAGGUAUCGUAGUUCUCCAAGUAGUUAGUGAAUGAGAAGAGAAAUCAUUGCUUGUGAUUCUCGUAAUUAAUUUUCGUCAAAUAUAAAAUUAACUUAAGCCGCAUCAAUCUUUUUUUUUAUUUUUUAAUGUACAAUUUAUAUGUGAAUACUCAAUAUUAUAAAAUUAACAUUUAUAUCUAAUACCAAUAGUCUAAAUUAUUUAACAUUUAUUUAUAUAUUUUACAUUUUAUAAAAAUAAAUAGUAAAUUAUAUAAUAAAUUAUUAUAUAAUAAUAUAUCUAUAUAUAAAUAAAAUACUAAUAUAUAAUAAAUAAAUAUAUAUUUAUAAAUAAAAUAAUUAUAUAUAUAUAUAUAGAGAGAGAGAGAGAGAGAGAGAGAGAGAGAGUAGGGCUACUAUGCAAUCGGAAGCACGAAGCCUUCUGUGCUUCCAGCUUGUUUUCGAUGUUGCGACUUUCGAAUCGUCGAUCGGCUCCGUUAAACUUGAUCUAGAGCAUUUGAAGUACUUAGAAAAUAAAUUUUAUUAUUUUUCGAUAUUAUUUGCCUAGUGAUCGAAUGGGCUCAAAAUCAACAAAUUUCAAUGGCCGUAGUGAGCCGUUUGCAAGUUUAACGGUGUAGAAAUAUCCAAAUCACGUGAAAUUUUGAUAGAAAAUUCUUUAUACUAUAUAAAACAAUAUCAAUAUCUUUGAUUUAAAAUUUUAAUGUCAUAUUAUUACAUUUUGUAAGAUUUUUAUUUUCAGCCGUUGAUUUUGAACCCCUUCGUUCAUAGGCAAAUGAUAUCGUAAAAUCAUAAAAUUUAUUUUCUAGGUACUUCAAAUACUCUAGAUCAAGUUUAACUGAGCCGAUCGACGAUUCGAAAGUUGUAACAUCGAAAACGAGCUAGAACAGGAAGGCUCCGUACUUCCGAUAGCAUAAUAGCCUCACUCUAUAUAUAUAUAUAUAUAUAUAUAUAUAUAGAGUUGAGCUAGAAUACUAUCGAUAGUAAACGAGCCGUUUUACUACAAUUUGUUUUCGAUAAUAGAGCUUCCAAAUUGACGAUCGGCUCCGUUAAAUAUGAUCGGCUCCAUUUAAACUACCUAGAAAUCAAAUUUCGCGCACUUUCGAUAUUGUUCUUUUAUUCAUCAAGUGAACAGAAAAAUGAAUGGCUGAAAAUGAAUAUUCUUUAAAAAAAUAAUGAUAGGAGUCUUGUAAUCAAGAUCAAGAGUAUAGAUCUUGUUUUAAAUAGUUUAAAGAAUUUUCUAACAAAAAUUCAAUUGAUUUGGAUAUCUUUACGCGUUAAACGAGAAAACGCCUCUUAUCGACCAUUAAAAUUACAAAUUUUGAAACCCUUUGAUCAUUAGGCAAAUGAUGUCGAAAAGAUUUGAAAUUUGAUUUCUAAACACUUUAAGUGGUAUAGAUCAUGUUCAACGGACGAUCGUCAAUUUGGAAGCUUUAUCGUCGAAAACAAAUAGGUAGUAAAACGGCUCGUUUACUAUUGAUAGUAUUCUAGCAAAACUCUAUAUAUAUAUAUAUAUAGUUGGACUGGGCUACUAUUGUAGCAAAAUCUCAUUGUUGCUACCAGUUUUUUAGCCUUUGGAUCAACUCUUUUCAUUAUUUCUAACCAUUGGAUUAAAUAUUAUAACCCAGUGGGGACCACUCAACCCUAGGGGGACCACUCAAUAUUAGCCGACUAAUAUCAUCCUGACCCUACAAUUUUUCAUCCAAGGGUUAAAACUUGAUAGCAAAAAGAGUGUUUUACUAUUAAUAAUAUUCCAGCCUAAUUCUAUAUAUAUAUAUAUAUAUAUAUAUAUAUAUAUAUAUAUAUAUAUAUAUAUAUAUAUACACACACAAUGAGAGGCUCAUGUCGUUCACGAGGCCGAAGUGGCCUCGUGGACCCUGUGAAAACCACGGCUAUGAGCGCGAUUUCUUUCGGCUCCGCACAGAGCCACGCCGCGCGCGCGUGCAGCGCCCCGCUCCCCGCGCCUCACACGCCCUGCCCGGCGCCAGCCGCGCUGCGCCGUGCCUCACCGCCCUCGCGCUCGCUCUUACGCUUGCGCCCCACGCCCGCCCACGCGGGCGCCACCCUCGCCGCGCCUCCAGCCUCGGCUCGCGUCCGCACUAGCGCCGGAGCCCCGCCCCCGCGCCGGCGCCGGCGCCAGCCCCCACGCCAGCGCCCGCUCCGCGCCCUCGCCCUCGCGCGCACCUCCGGCUCCCACUUGCCGCAUGCCGAUGCCGCGUUGAAGUUAUUGAGGUAUAAUAUAUCUAUAGAGAUAGAUAUAGAUAUAUAGAUAGUAUGUGAGAAUUAAGAAUCAAAUCCGUGCUAUUGUACUGGCUCUGAUACCACUUAUGGAUCGUAAGUGCUAACCAAUUAUUCCCAUAACAUGUCAUGAUAGAAAGGGUGCACAGAUCAUACUUUAAGCUCUUAGUCAUAACGUUCACAUAAUUCAAUCUGACUCAAUCCAUCAGUAUGUUAGAUUUACUAUUGAGCCUCUUAUCAUUAGGUCUAAUGUGGAUCGUAAUCCUACAUAAUUUAUUGGACUCACUCAAUUCAACUUAUAUUAGUCUCCUAAAAGGCACUGCUAGCAUACCGCUCAAAUAACUUCAUGCGUUGGAUUAGACGCGCAAGUAACUGUUGGGCUUUCUAGAAAUUAGGAAGGUUUGGACAAAAUUAAUUUUAGGAUGCGUUUGGUUCGCGCUAACUUUUAAAGAUUCCUAGUAAUUCAAUGGGAAUAAAAAAAUAUGACGGUGUUUAGCUAAACGCACUAAGUAAUCUAGUUGGUAAUAUUGAAUUUACUUAGGAAUAAGAUUCACCCCAAAGUACUAAUCUCAUUCCCUUGAGGGGGGUGGGUAUCGUCAUAUUAAUGGAUUGGGAUAAUCAUAAUAUAUCUAAUCUCUUUCUUUUUUUCUACCCGCCGGCUAAUUGAUAUUAUUUUUCUUUACACUCUAACCUUAUAUCUUUUUCUAAACUUAUUUUUCUCUCUAAAAUUUAACUUUUUUUUUCUCUCUAAACUAAGCUUUCUCUCUCUCUCUCUCUCUCUCUCUCUUUCUAAAAUUUCAACUCUCUCACUCCCUCUAAUUUCGACUAUAUUUUUCUUUCUAUUUUUUUAAUUAUGCUAUCUCUCUCUAACUUAUACUCUCUCUUUUUUUUCUAAAAAGAUGUUGAAACUUUUGAUAACAUUAUUUAAAAUUAAAUAAAUAAAUAAAUUAAUUAAUUAAUUGUAUAUUUUUUGUAAUAUUAAAUAACAUGGCUAAUUAAUAUUACCGUGCGAACCAAACACAUGAAUUCCACAUUCUUAGUAAUAGGAUGAAUAGGAAUAAGAUUCUCGGAUAUCUUUUAUUCCUAGUAAUCUUUCAUAAUGCGAACCAAACGCACCCUUAAUGAUAUUGUAUAGAUGAUUGAUUAUCUUUCCUUACAAACAUACCUAGAACAAUUGGACAAUCUAAUGUAUAUUAGUAAAUGUCUCUUAAUAGUACCCAAAUAUCCUAUUUGUCCUUAAUAUAUCAUUACAUAUUGUCAACAUACACACACACACACACACACACACACACAUAUAAAUACAUACAUGUAUAAAUAUGUAUGCAUGUAUAUAUACAUGCAUGCAUGUAUAUAUAUAUAUAUAUAUAUAUAUAUAUAUAUAUNUUAUUUAUUUUUUUUUUUUUUUUGCUUUUUCUCUCUCUUUUAACUUUUUUAUUUUUUAAUUUUUUUUAUCUAAAUUGUGCUAACAUUUGCCAAAGUUCUAUUUUGGUCUCAAACAUUGUAAGCUCGAUGUUUGAAACUCCAAAAUUUACAUUAUAGUUAAUGUUAAAAUUAAAAAACAGCACACUGUCUGCAUUUGAAUUUUUUUUUUUUUUUUGAGAGAUUCUGCAUUUGAAACCUUAAGAGUUCAAUUUUUAAAUAUAAAAAAUUAUAAUUUGAAAGAUAAUAGGACUGAAAUAUAACAUGGAAGAUUAAAAGUUGGCAUAUGCAUGAUGCACAAAUUUAGAGAUGCAUCACUCAUAGGCAAUAUUUUUUUCUUCUGAUAGUAAACAAGGGCAAGAAAUAAAACGAAACUAACCGUUCACAAUUUGCGAUGAACUUAAAAAUGACCAAAUUACAGAAAAUUUUUUUUGGUCAAUAUCUGUUUUUUUACUUUACUUCGUUAUUUAAAAACCUACACUUUGUCUUCUGAAAAAAUAUAAAAUAUUCACUUUGGCCUCCGCCGUCGAUAUUCUGUUAGGUUCCGUUUAUAUCUUAUUAUUAUACAUUUUUUAUACCCAAAAUACCCUCAGCCUCCUCUCCUCAGCAUUGCCGCCUUUUUUCUUGCCACCCAUGCCGCCUCACCCUACUUUGCCACCUCGCCCUCGCCCACCCCUCCAUCCGCGUCCACACGCACGCUCUCGUACUCCUUCGCUGUCUCACCCCCACCCUCGCCCUCGCCUACCACUCCGUCUAUGCCCACACCGAUCUCCUUCUGACCGUCGCCAAAAUGGAGGGGCAAUGAGGGUGCAGGAGGAGUGGGGGAGCAAGUGGAGGAAUUAAAGGAGUCGGAAGUUACGGUUGAGCGAGGUGCGAAGAACGGAAGAGAGAGACAACAACUAAGCAAGAUUGAGGAGAAGAUGAAGAUAGUGAAAGGUAAUUUGGUCAUUUUAUCAUCACAAUUAACACCGUUACCUCUUGUGAAUAUAUGUAUAUUAUUUUUUCUGAAAGAUAGAUAGCAUGCUACCCGUUUUGUUUAUUUUUUUUAGAAAUAAACUUAGUUAGAAAUAUGAAUCAAUUAGGAUUCGAACUUGGGACCUCAGAUACCAACCACUAAGCUCUUUGUCACUUGCGCCAGGAACGGUCAGUAAUAUUUUUUAUUUUUCAAGAAGACAAAGUAUAUGGUUUUAAAUAACGGAAGGGGAAUGAAAAAAUAGAUAAUGACAGAAAAAUUUUCUAUAAUUUAGCCCUUAAAAAUUCAAAACACAAAAUAAAUCUUACCCAAAAGUGCAAGGACAAGUGGUACAAUAUACCUUUUUUUUUAUGUUCUCUAUAUUUUUCUACCUUCUCUCCUCUUUUUUAUUGUUUUAGUUUUCUUCCUCUUUCUUAUCCUCGAAGCAAUACUGUCUAUAUAUCCUUCUAUUAUUUUUCUUUUUUUCUCAUCCUAACCCAAGAGCGAUGCUACCUAUGUACCGCAAAACUAGGUGCAAAAUGAAUACCAUAUUCAUCACCCUUGAGUCUUAUCAAUCUUUUUUUUCUCUCUUUUGUGUAAACUUUAAUUUGCCCCUUGUGGAAUAGUAUAUUUUGACUCUUUCACCCUAUGGUUUUAAAAGUUUAACUUAAGUAUUUUAUAGUUCUAUUUUUAUUUCACUGUAAGGAUCUAUUAAUUAUUAAACAUGGUUUCACUCUAUCGUUUUUACUUUAUUAGUAGAACAAAAAGAAAAUUACAAGACAGUUAGGUGUAACUUUUAAACCUUUAGCCUUUAUUUGGUUGGGGUUAAAGUGUGGAAUAACCCCUUAACCCCGAUAUUAUUCCCAAACACCCCCCAAAAUAGGUAGGGUUAGCUAAUCCCAUCUCAAAUGGGCUAAUCUCGGGUUAGCUAACCCCACCUAACUCCACUAAACCUCAAAUACUCUAAUCCCACCUUAACCCCGAACUUAACCCUAUUCCUGGAAUAACUAAUUUUUCCUUAACCCCGAACCAAACGGUAGCUUAAAGUAACAAAGUAAAAACACACUAAACUACACAAGUGCAAUUUUUUUUUUGAACCGUGGAGUGGUAAAGUGAAAACGCACUAUACCACGAGAGGAUAGAUAGAAUUUUAUCCUUUUUAGAACUUGGGGGGUGGUAAAAUGGCUCGUAGAUCUGGCAUAGUUCUCUACUAAAAGGCUAUAUUAUACUUUUGGUUCUGAUACUAUGAGAAAUGUGACACUUUGGUCCCUAGUAAUUUGUUGUAAUUUCUAACUUACAACAAAUUACAUUAUGAUCAAUUCUAUCCCUUAUAUCAUACUAUUCUAACCAACCACCCAUUAAUCCUAGGAAAAGUACCACCAAACCCUUGGGUCAUUAUCAUUAUGAUUUUACAAUUUUUCAUGUAAGGAUUAAAAAUCGGAUACUAUCGACAGCCGAAUACUAUUAAGAGUAUUCUAGUCCAACUCUUAUUUUUAGAGUUAAGAGCUGAAUGUUUAGAGCUUGAUUACUAUUUUAUCAGUUGUUUAGGUUGGGGACUAUUAUUAUCUUUUUUUUUUUUUGCUUUCAGUCUGUGUAGUUUGGGGACUGUUAUCAAGGCUCUCCAUCUUUUUUUUUUUCUUUUUUUUUUUUCAUUUGUUUGGGGUUUAUUGAUAAUUUUUUCCUACUUGAUAUGCGAUGGAUUUUGCAUUGUCCCUAGGCUCUUAAUCAAAUUCUUCCUUUAGUUAAAGGGUAAACUUUAAUUUGCUCUACAUAGUUUAGCUUAUUUUUACUUUGUCAUUCUAUAGUUCAAAAAUUAUAAUUAACUAUCUUGUAGCUUUAUCUUUAUUUUAUUUUAAAAACUAUACUAUCAAAUAGAGUAGCAAAAUGAAAUUUUUUGAUAAUCACAAGUUAAUUAAGUAUAAUUUUUUGGACUACACGAAGGCAAAGUAAAAGUGAGCUAAAUCACAGAAAAAUUAAUUGCAUCUUUCAGAACUAUAGUGUGGCAAAAUAAAAAUGAGCUAAAUCACAGAAAGGCAAUUGAAGUUUAUCCUUUAUAAAAAUUACCUACCGACUUUAUCAUCAAAAAAAGCCUAUGGAUUUUAUGUGUUUGUCCGUAAUUAAUUUCCAGAUUGAGAAUAACUAUCAAAUGAACUAAAAUGCACUUAGAAUUUAUAAGAAUUUUCCACACUAGCAUAGCUUCUUUUUACAGAUAUUUUUAUUAAGAUAAUCAGUAUUAAUAUAGUCGCAACCUUUACAUUUGUAGUAUUAGAUUUGUCUGUCGAAAUUCUUCUUGUCUUUUGAAUAUUUGGUACUCUUCUUAGAGUCCAAACUCGAAGCUCCUUUGCUUAAAAAUUUCUACUUUGACAAAAAUGAUGAAAUUUUGUUAGCUUGAUUUUUCUUCUUUGAAGUCCACUAGAACUUCUUAGUCAAAAGAGUCAAUUGUUUUUUUUUUUUUUUUUUGAGAGAUAGGUAGCACGCUACCUGCUUCGUUUAUUUCAUUAAGAAAUAAACUUAGCUGGAAAUGUGAAUCAAUUAGAAUUCGAACUUGGGACCUCGGGUACCAACCACCAAGCCCUUUUGCCAUUUGCUUUAGGGACGGUCGGUAAAAGAGUCAAUUGUUGCUCGAACUUCACCAUUGAUCUGGUAUUUUCCAAAUUAACUUCCAAAGAGUCCGAUUCUUCCUCCUUAAUAGAUCUCAAUGCCGUAACUGCACCAUUAGAAGACCGAGCAGAAGAAGAAUUCGAAGUAGGAAAAGUCAUCUUAUAAAUUCGUAAAAAAUCUACUAAUUUUUCAACUUCAUAUCGCCGGGAUGUUUCACUAUUUCUAUGGCAGCAAUAUUUGGUCUAAAAUGUUAAGAAAGAGUUCUAAAUAUUUUAUAAAGAAGCUUAGGUUUCAAUAUCUUCUCUCCUAAGUUAAUACACAUGUUUAAUUUACAAUAUUUUUUAAUAUAUAAUAAUUAGUGAAGAUCUCAUACUCGUCCAUUCUAAUAAAAUCAAAUUUGUUUCUUAGCAUGUGAAGCUUAAUUUUGAGCCUUUAUUAGAUUCAUUUCUUUGUGUGUAACUUGUAAAAUAUCUCAAAUCUCCUUAGUCGUCUCAUAUGCAGAAAAAAAAAGUGAAAUCAAUUCCGAAAAAAAUCAUUAAAUAAGGUAUUUAUGCCUUUCCUAUUUAAGGAAGAUGCAUCCAUCUCUUUCUUAAUUAGUCUACUUAGUUGGAGGUAUAAGGAUUUUAGCAUUAUUAACCUCCUCGGGCUGUGAGUUGCACCAGAAGAAAUUUGGCAUUGAUGGUUGGAACAUCCGCAAUCUAGUAUUAUAUAUCAUCUUUAUAAUAAUAAUUUUAUUAGAGUGAAUAAAUAGAACAAUAUAUCUUAUAUUUGCUCUGAUUGUCAAAUGAGUGAAUAUUUAAAAUAUCUUUCUUAUUCUAGGAUUAAUUACAUAUAACCCUCGGUAAACAUAUCGAAUAGCAUAUACAUUCUAACUUUUUAUGUUUAUCCCUGCAAAAGUCCAAAUUUUUUAAAUAUAUCUCUGCUGUCAUGAUGUAUUAGAAAAAUAUAGUUAACUAUAGAUAAAAUACUUAACCCUAAUUAGUGAAUAAUGUAAAUUGACUUUUUUUACCCUUUUAAUAUUAUUUGUGAUGGUAGAAAAGAAAAUAUGACCGUUGGGCAUUUUUGAAAAUGUUGGGACUUUUGGAGGGACAUAUCUGUGAUGUCAAAAAUAUCAUAUUAUUUAUCUUCUGUUAAAAAAUAGGAAAAACUUCAAAAACUCUCCUUGUGGUUUCAAUUUUUUUUACUUUAGUACCCUGUGGUUUAAAAUGUAUCAAGUUAAUACCCUGUGGUUUCUCACUUUAUCACUUUAGUACCCUGUGGUUUAAAGUGUAUCAAGUUAGUACCCUGUGGUUUUGCACGUUAUCACUUUAGUACCCUGUGGUUUUAAUUUUGUAUCAAGUUAGUACCCUGUGGUUUUUUAAACUAUAGGGUACUAAAGUGAUAAAGUGUGAAACCACUGGGUACUAAAGUGAUAAAGUGCAAAACCACAGGGUACUAACUUGAUACACUUUAAACUAUAGGGUACUAAAGUGAUAAAAUGAGAAACCACAUGGUACUAUCUUGAUAUACUUUAAACCACAUGAUACUAAAAUGAAAAAGUGUGAAACCACAGGGGGGGUUUUUAAAGUUUUCCCUAAAAAAUAAAUAGUACUCUAACGAUAACAAACCAGAGGAACAAACAUGAAUAUCACUGGACUUUUGCAAAGUUAAAAAUAAAAAGUUGAGCUUUAUAUGAAUAUAUUUAUUUAUUUAUUUUUGAGAGAUAGGUAGCAUGCUACCCGCUUUGUUUAUUUCAUUUAGAAAUAAACUUAGCUGGAAAUGUGAAUCAACUAUGAUUCGAACUUAAGUUUUGGGUACCAACCAUCACGCCCCUUGCCACUUGCUUUAGGAACGGUCGGUUAUAUGAAUAUAUUUGUUAUUCGAUAUGUUUAUAUAGAGCUGGAUGAAAUUAACUUUUUUUUGUAUUUUAUUUAUUUUUUUUAACUGAAAUUCUUGCUAUAAAAUAUGCAAGUUGAUAGUGGAUUGCUUACAGUUGAUGUCACUACAGCAAUUCGUGCGAUAGAUUAGAUCUGAGUCGCUCAAAUUCCAAACUCUUCAACCGAUGGACCAUAUUAUAAACUUGUCAAAAUUAAAAGAGAUCAAAAGCUAAACCAGCCAUUAACCUGGGUAGAAUCCGAAAUUCAGCUAACAAGAAUAGCUCAAAAUCAAAAGGACAAAGUUAAAAAAGUGUCCCGUCACAUUUUAGUUCUCGAACUUGAAAUUUUUAGCUCGAAUUAUGAGACGCGUGAUAUUUUAAUUCUCAAACUUUAAAAUUGGUUAUAAUUUUUGACUUGAAUUAUGAUGUAUAUGAUAUUUUAGUUUUCGAAUUUUCUGAAUUGCAGCAAUAACCCACUUGGUGAUGCAAAAACAAUUAAGAUGCUACAUCAGUCACCGCUUCCAUAUUAGUAAUCUAUCCAAUAUUUUAUUAAAAAAAAUUAAAAUUUGAGACUUGAUCGCGAUAAUAUAGAGUUCGUACACUAAAGUGACACACACCUUACAGUUUGUGUCAGAAAUUGUAACUAAUUAAAAUUUAACCCGUCACACGCCUUAUAAUUUGAGCCAAAAAUUGUAAUAAUUAAAAUAAUAUCAAGCGUCUCAUAGUUGGAAGACCGAAAGUGUAAUUUACCUAAAAGAGUAAGCAAAAAAAAAUGAAAAACUUCAAAAACCCCUUGUGGUUUCACAUUUUUUCAUUUUAGUACCCUAUAGUUUAAAGUGUAUCAAGUUAGUAUUCUGUGGUUUCGCACUUUCUCAUUUUAGUAUCCUAUGGUUUAAAGUGUAUCAAGUUAGUACUCUGUGGUUUUAUUUUUGUAUCAAGUUAAUACCCUGUGGUUUUAUUUUUGUAUCAAGUUAGUAUCCUAUGAUUUUAUUUUUCUCUUAAUGAAAUAUUAAACCACAGGGUACUAAAGCGAGAAAGUGCGAAACCACAGGAUACUAACUUAAUACACUUUAAACCAUAUGGUACUAAAGUGUAAAAAAAAGAAACCACAAGGAGGUAUUUGAAGUAUUUUCCCCAAAAAAAAAGGACUUUGUUGAUACCAAAAUUGAGCCGACCUAACCCACGUAUGAGCCAAUAAGGACACGUGGUACACCAGGAGUCGGCAAAAAGACGGGAACGGUUGAAGAUUGGGGCGUAACUUUCAUGAGGAGUUAGCGUAACUUUCAUGAGGAGUUAGUACAACUUCCACGAUCAUGGUUACAACCACUCCCCCGAACUUCUUUCAACGAACUAAUAAUGUGGGCUAUAAAUAGUAACUUUGAAGCCUGCAAUAGGGGUCUUUGCCCCUGCGCACAAAAAACCAUCCUUAUUUCCUCUGCAUUUUAUCGCUUUUCUAGGAGUAGUCUAAAUGUAAUCUUUUUCUUUUCCUCAUUUACUGCUUUCAUAGGAGUAGCUCUCGUAACUUAGCAUACUUGGAGUCUGUCUGCCCUACGGGCAUCACUCCCCUGUUCUUUUACUUGGAGUCUGUCUGCCCUACGGGCAUCACUUCCCUGUUCUUGUACGUCUAUUCAAUAGAAAAUCAUUUUCGGCUCUUCUCGCCGAUCAGAUCUCAAGUUGUUUAGUCAUUCGGCUCAUCUCUCAGUCGAAUUCUGAGCUUCCCCUCCUCAUUCGGCUCAUCCCGCCGAAGCGAAUUUACUGGGGAGGUUUUCGAACCCGGCUGAUUCGAUCCCUUAUCGGCCGAAUCGCUUGAUCCAUCGUGGGCCCAAACUUCGAGGGUCACAAUCCGCGGCCGCUCAUCAUCCCGACGUCCUUCCCGAGGAGAAUCCUUGACCGAGUCAAGGGUCAGGACUUUUGGCCACCAACAAUUUUUUGGCACGCCCGGUGGGACACAUUUUUUGGUAAAUUUAUAUUUUAUAUAAAUUAUGGCUGAUGAUUUACGUAAUAGGAUUGUUCCUAGAAAUUCUAGGAGUGAUCAAUCUAGUGAUUCAGACAAUGCUGACGAAUGUCAAGCAGUUUUGCCAAUUGAAGGAGAAACUAGUGGACAGUCGGCUCAUCAAGAGCCAAGUCUAACUCAGGCACUCGGCCAGAUGAGCCGAGUCCUGCAAACUUUAGAUUAAAAUAUCCAUCAAAGUACCGCUCGACUAGACGCGGUGCUGGCCGCUAUCACGGCCUAUAAUAAAAAUAUUGCACGAAUAGGACAAUUAUUGACUCGAAAUGAGCAAUCAAUGACAGGCUUACAAAGGCCUAUGAUGACACCAGUGUUGCAAAAUCCUACGACACCGAUAAAUGGAUAGCCCCAAUACCAGGGGGCACCAUUCCAAGCAGCUUAUAGACCGGCCGUCGUCAAUACCGGUCAACAGCCGGAAAUUACAUGGGGAUUGCCACCACCUCCGCCGAUGGUAGCAUACCAGCCUCAAAAUGUAGGGGCUAAAGCUGGGGGGCAGGUCCCUAAUGAUAUGCAAGGAGCGAACCCUGCAAUACAGAAUUCUGGAGUUCCUCAAGGGCCAAAUUCGGCUCAAGCACAAGCUCCGCUGUAUGCUCAGAUUGAGGAAGUCAUUCGGAAUACCUUUAGAGUAGGGGCCUCCUGAAGCUAAAUCUGGUAACUUUUCGAAAAGUGUCAGGUGUAGGUUUAGUUGGUUUUGGUAACUUUUCGAAAAGUGUUAGGUGUAGGUUUAAGAAGUUUUCUCCUAAAUUAAAUUCUAGUUCAGCAGAUAAUAAUUUAUCUAAAAUCAUUAAAUUAUGCUCCAAAUUCAGGUUUCAUAUAAAACCAUACAAUCCAUGAAUUUGAGCUACUAACAUGAAACUAUAACACAACUAGGAGCAUGCUGACAUUAUCUAAGACUUAGGAGGAAUUCCGACGUGUUCGAUCAACAUUAACCCACCUCAACCUCUCGUCCAACACCGGCUAGAGGUCGAUAGAAGAAAUCCCGUGCCAGAACAGCCUCAACGGAAUCAACUGAGGUGCUCGAGCAACCCUCCGAAGAUCAGAAGAACAAAAAUGAGAUCGAUCCUCAAAUUCCCUUAAAACUUAGGAAAAGAAGCUAGAGAGAGAGAAAGAGGAGAAGCUGCCUCAGCUCCAAGCUUCCUACACGAUAUAUACAAGCUGGGGGUCGGUUGGGAUAAACCCAAUAGCAAAAUUAUCAAAAGACUCCUUACCAACUCAAAUCUGUCGCCUAAGUAUCGGUACUCAAUUUCGGUACCGGUACCCGGCGCUUAAACAGCUAAAGCCCAGCGUUGGACAACUGGGUUUUAACACAAUGUACCGGUACUAGCUCAAUGCAGUACCGAUACCCAGUCCUAGUACUGGUACUCCACUCAUGUACCGGUACUCAACACUUAAAACAUGCAGUUUGUAAAUUUCAGUGUCAGAAUUUCAAUCACACACUGUGCUGAGUUCGUUUUUGCGUCCAUUUCGCGUCAAACGACUCAAACUCGUCCCAUCACUUAGCUCCACUGUCGACUCUAGGCCGUCUCAAGAUGUCACCGGACAACUCUGACCUUUUUCUCUACUUCCACAGAAUAUCCGGGCCCAAAGUCUUUCUUUCACCUACCUCACACCAAUGUAGGGAUGAUCGACACUUGCGUCCAUACAAUGCUUCAAACAGAGCCAUUCUGAUGCUCGCUUGAUAGCUGUUGUUGUACGCAAACUCAACUAAUCUCAAAUAUCGAUACCACCUACCUCCAAAAUCUAGGACACAAGCUUUCAACAUGUCCUCUAGAGUCUGAAUAAUCCGCUCUGAUUGACCAUCUAUCUGUAGAUGAAAUGCUGUGCUGAAGUGAAGUUAUGUACCCAAAACCGUCUGAAGGCUCCUCCAGAACUGCGAGACGAAUCUCAGGUCUCUAUUUGAUACAAUCGAAGUAGGUACUCCAUAUAACCUUACUACCUCAUCGAAAUACAACUGGGCAAGUUGCUCCCUGGACCAAGUAGUCUGCACCAGUAGGAAGUGAAUAGACUUGGUCUGUCUAUCCACUAUCACCUAUAUAGCAUUAAAAUCACCCUGUGUCCUCGGUAAACCCACGACAAAAUCUAUGGUGAUCUGGUCCCACUUUCAUUCUGGCACUAGAAGAUUCUGAAGUUUGCCAGCAGGAACACGGUGCUCCGCCUUCAUCUGUUGACAAGUCAGACACUGAGCCACAUAUCUUCUAAUGUCUCUUUUGAUUCCAUUCCACCAGAAGUGUGCCUUCAAAUCCUCAUACAUCUUGGUGAACCGUAUAACGUGUGUAAUGAGCCUUUCUCAAAAUCUUUUCUCGGAUCUCUGAAUCCAUAGGCACACACAGUUGGUCCCUGUACCACAGUACUCUCGAACUCUCAAUAGGAAAGUCCCCUAUUUAUCCACUCUCAAUUUUCUCUCGAAGCACAAGCAAAUGAGGGUCUACACUCUGUUUCUCUCGGAUCCUGUCCAACAGAGUAGGCUGCAAGAUCAAAGACAUCAGUCUCGCAGUGGCCUCAGGGGACACCACUUCAAGUCCAAAUCACUGCAACUCCUCAAGCAAAGGCCUCUGCUGAGUGAUCAUCAUGCUGAGACUUUGCACUGACUUCCUGCUCAACGCAUCUGUCACUACAUUCGUCUUGCCGGGGUGAUACUAAAUGUUGAUAUCAUAAUCCUUCAACAAUUCCAGCCACCGGCAUUACUUGAGAUUCAAUUCCUUCUGGGUGAACAAAUACUUGAGACUUUUAUGAUCGGUGAAAAUCUCGCAAUGCUCACCAUACAGGUAAUGCCGCCACAACUUCAGUGCGAACACCACAGCGGCAAGCUCUAAGUCAGACGUAGGAUAAUUCUUUUUAUAAUUCUUUAAUUACCGUGAAGUAUAAGCAAUUAUCCUACCAUACUGCAUCAGUACACAACUCAAACCACUGUGUGACGCGUCGCUAUAGAUCACAAAUCUUAACCCCAUAACCGGAAGAGUAAGAAUAGGAGCCGACAUCAGCCUCCACAAAACUCCUUUGACAGUUCUCACUCCAAAUAAACUUAAUUCCUUUACAAGUCAAUCGAGUGAGGGGUGUGGAAAGCUUAGCAAAGCCUUCCACAAAUCGACGAUAAUAUCCAGCCAAACCAAGAAAACUCCUCACAUCAGUAAUCAUCGUCGGUCUAGGUCAAUCCCGAAUCGCAUCAAUUUUCUUUGGGUCAACUGCUACUCCAACUGCUAAAAUCACGUGGCCCAAGAAAGAAAAUUCCUGAAGCCAAAACUCGCACUUCUUUAACUUGGCAUACAACUUCUUUUCUCUCAGAAGUUGCAAUACGAUCCUCAAGUGCUCCUCGUGCUCCGAAUCACUCUGGGGGUAAAUCAGAAUAUCAUCGAUAAAUACCACUACGAAACUAUCCAAGAACAGCUUAAAUACUUGAUUCAUUAAAUCCAUAAAAGCAGCAGGGGCAUUAGUCAAUCCAAAAGGCAUCACUAUGAACUCAUAAUGCCCAUACCGUGUUCGAAAAGCCGUCUUGGAAAUAUCCUCGGCCCUCACCUUCAGUUAGUGGUAACCUGACUGCAAAUCAAUCUUUGAGAUGACACAAGAUCCUUCCAGCUGAUCGAACAGAUCAUUAAUGCGCGGCAAAGGGUACUUGUUCUUGAUAGUUACUUUAUUCAACUCUCGGUAAUCCACACAAAGCCUAAGUGAACCAUCAUUCUUAUUCACGAAUAACACCGGCGCUCCCCAAGGUGACACACCGGGUCUAACAUACCCUUUAUCCAUCAAAUCUUCAAGUUGCACUUUAAGUUCUCUUAGCUCCGCCGGUGCCAUUCGAUAGGGUACCUUCAAGAUUGGCGCAGUUUUCGGAACUACGUCAAUCACAAACUCAACCUCCCUGUCUAGCAGCAUAUAUGUCAACUUAGGGGGAAAGACAUCGGGGAACUCGUGAACUACGUCAAUCCUCAAUUCAAAUCUAUCGCCUGAGUACCGAUACUCAAUUUGGGUACCGGUACCCGGCGCUUAAACAGCUAAAACCCGAGCGCUGGACAGCUGGGUUUUAAUACAGUGUACCGAUACUAGCUCAAUACAGUACUGGUAACCAGUCCCAAUAACGGUACCCCACUCAGAUACCGGUACUCAACACUCAAAACCUACAGUUUGUAGAUUUCAGUGUCAGAACUUCAAUCUCACACUGUGCCGAGUCCGUUUUUGCGUCAAUUUCGCGCCAAACGACUCAAAUUCGUCCCGACACUCUACAGAUGUGUCGACAAGCCAUAGAUACUGCAGUCACUCCGACCGUUAAACCCCAGGGAUACAACAAUUAUUCAUUUGCUUCUAAUCUUUGUAACCCUCAGAUGUCGAGUGUUAGGCCUUAAUUAGUGUAUGAAUAUUUUAUUUAGUAUAUUCUUUUAAUUUAAUAAAAAAAUGUAUACAUUUGGUAGAAAAGUAUUUCAAAUGAAAUAUCAUAUUCGGAUUUCGAUUUUUUUUAAAAAAUAAGAUAAAUAAUUUUUUAGGUGAAAUAUACUAUCCUACUAAAUCACAAAUAGUAAAACUUUAAAAAGAAAAUUAAAUUUCCUACUUAGAAAAAUUUUAUACCAAAAAGAUAAUAUAUUCAGACAUUCAAAUAUGAUCUAAUAAUAGAAGCAUGUGAAGUAGUCGUAGACUUAAAGAGUUAAAAAGUUAAAAAUAUAUGAACAUUAAUUGGAGUUGAGCUAUGAUACUUUUACAAGUAUCACCAUCAUGGUAUUAUUAGGUUUUAAGUCAUUGGAUCUACUUUUUAAUUAUUAAUAGCCCUUGGAUUAAACACUAUUCCACCUACCACCACCUACCACCACCUACCACCAUCAUCUCAACCUCACAUCUCUCCAUCCAAGGGCUAAAAACACACAAGUAUCACUCCCAUGAUACUUUUACAAGUAUUCUAGCCCUACUCCAUUAAUUGUUGUAUAUAAAAAUAUUAUAACUCAACUCCAAUUUUAUAUACACUAGAUAAUGGUCUUAAUAUCGUGCCAAAAGAACCGGUCAAUCCAAUGGGCUAACGAUGUAUUCACUAUUUCCAGAAAGCGAAUAGCCCAUUGAUGGAGACCACAUCUGUUAUCAGUUUGGGAUAGUAUCUGAUUAGUACUUCCAAAUUUUAAAAAUAUUUAAUUUACUUUUAGUUAACCAAAAUAUUUUUCAAAAUUUCAAAAAAUCUCUUGAAAUAUCCAAUGUUCUCGUUUGGAUUGGAUACAAGAAGGGGAUAAGUCUUUAUCCCUUUUUGUACACAAACACAAGUGCUGAAGUUGUGAAGCGCUUGUUCCCACUCUUAAGUGGAAUAGGGGUGGGAACAAGCAGUUCCCAGCUCUUUUUUUUUAAAAAAUUAAUUUUAAAAUUAAAAUUUAUAAUUUUAAAUUUUAAAUUUUAAUUUGAUAUUUUAUAUUUUUUAAAUUUAAAUUUUAAUAUUUUAUAAUUUUUAAAUUUAAAUUUAUCUUAAAUUUAAAAUUUAAAUUUUAAAAUUUUAAGUUUAACAUUUUGAAAUUUAAAAAUUUAAAAUUUAAAAUUUAAAAUUUAAGAUUUUAAAAUUUAAAAUUUAAAAUUGAAAAAUUCUAAAAAUUUAAAUUUUCAAAAUUUUAAAUUUUAAAUUUUUAAAAUUUUAAAUUUUAAAAUUUGAAAUCUAUAAUUUGAGAGUUUAAUUUUAAAUUUUAAUUUCAUAUUCUAAAAUUUAAAAGUUAAAAUUUUAAGUUUAAAAAUAAAAAAUUUAAAAUUUAAAAAUUCAAAUUCAAAUAUAAUAAGAGUGAUAAUAUCAUUUUUCUAAUCAUAAGUUCAUAACUACCCACUAUUCUUUUCAUUCCAUUUUUUUCUAUCUAAAUGUUAUUUUUUUUAUUCCCGGAAACAACGAAUUUUUAUCCAAACACAAAAUUGAUCUACUUUUUACUUAUAGCUAAACUUGUAUUUAUUCAUGAAAUAAGCUGUUCUUAUUUAUACUCGAGCCGAACGAAGUCUUAUUACAAUUUCUAUGCUUUGAUAUUUCAAUCCAUAUGAAUUAUUUAUUUAUUUACAUGAAUUGAUUGUUGUUGGUUGUCGCUUCGUGUGUGUAAAACAGUCUUAUACACACGGGCAAAUUUGGACACGCUAUCGUAGAUGCUUCCGCUCAAGUCCAGAACGUAACAUAUAUAGCUGCUAAAACCAGCUGUAUAACGUAGUUUUCUUUUUUUUGAGAGCGAGAGAGAGAUAGGUAGCACGCUAGCUACCCGUUUCGUUUUAUUUUAUUUAAAAAUAAACUUAGCUGGAAAUAUAAAUCAACUAGGAUUCGAACUUGGGUCUGGAUACCAACCACCAAGCUUUUUGCCACUUACUCUAGGGACGGUCGGUGUAUAACGUAGUUUUCAAAUAACACUUUUUACUAGAGAUAAGAAAGUAAAAAGUUGCCUCAUACGGGGAAGAGACCAAAUUUGUUCUCCAAUAUACUUUGUUAAUUAUUUUUUUUCAACUCUUUCUCCAUAAUUAUCUAAAAUUUUGCUUCAGGGAUUUGCUCCUCUCUUCUUUCGAUCUCUUUGGGUGACCUCCUCCUUCUUCCUCUUCUGUUGCGCACUAUGCAGACUUCAUCCCAGCUUUUGGUGGAGGUUGGCAGAUUCCGAGGUGGCUGGCGGUUCCGGCGGUUGGAGGUAAGUAGAAUUGAUUGGGACAUGCAGGUGAUCGGGGGGCAGCUUAGGAGGAGGGGAAUGUGCCUGUGCCACUGAUAAAUAUCUUUAUACAUUCUCUUUAGCUCAGAAAAAAAAAAAAGAAAAAAAGAAAAAAUAGAACAUCAAAUGCCAGUGGUUUCGUGUUUUUUCACUUUAAUAUCCUAUAGUUUAAAAUAUAUUACUUUAGUACCCCGUAGUUUUAUUUUUCUCCUUUCCUUAUUCUCUUUAUAAAUUUUUUUCAGUAAAAUUAGUGACAAAGUUAAAACUAUAGAAUACUAAAGUAAAAGACCACAAAAUACUAAAGUGAAUAUUCGAUAAAUUAUAGGUGGGAUAUCGAAAGUUUUUUGUAUAUAAUUUAACAAAGAGUUAAUAGCGGUGUUGAUUGAAACAGAAAAAUAAAAUCACGGGGUGCUAAAGUGACUCACUUUAAACCAUAGUGUACUAAAGUGAGAAAGCGCAAAACUACAUGUGUGGUAUUUGAAGUUCACCUUUUAGUGCCCCUUCUUGUCAAAAAUUUUGAAAACUAAUAAAAAAUUGUACUAGUAUUUUUUCAUACAUAUUUUAAUAAACAAUAUAUAUCUCAUAGGUGAUAUUCUAAGACUUGAAAAUACUCCCGCAUCAAAUCGCUACAGCUAAAUAUGAGGGCAUAUAAGACUAGAGUGACUAAAUUUAAUAACUGAAUCUAAGCAUUUUGAAUCAAUAGAUUUAGCCCAAAAAGUUAUGGAGUCUAGACCAAUAGAUUUGUUGGCUAUUUAUAAUUGGACUAAAAUAUAUCCAACAUCCUGCUCCGUGAUAAUAGACACAGGAGACUAAUAAGUUGAGUAGAGGUGCGGUCUAUAAGACACCUAACGGUAAGAGACUCAACAAUAGAUCCAACGUCCAGGUACGUUGAGUGAGAUCGAAACCUGCGAUCGUUGUGACUGAGCCUUUAAAUGCGAUAGGUGCACUCUUCCUAUCCGCAUGUACUUUUCGAAUAGUUGAUUAACCCUUAUGAUUCAUAAGAUUUAGCCUAACUAGUUAUUGAGACCAUACAACCCUAGGGACCGAGUCGUAGCAUUAAAGAGGACGGUAAAGCUGGAUGGGCUAGAUUUAGAUUUAAUAAAACCGAACCGUGGGCGAUAGAAGUUCUGGCUCUGCCAUGAUUGAAAGUACUCCUACUAUGUAAAAGUUCUGGCUCUGCCGUGAUUGGAGGUAAAAUCUGAAUGAUUGCUUUUAUUCAAACUGUUUCUUCUUUUUUUAAAAAUUUUUUUUGAGCUCUAACGGCCUUGAGCUUAACUUUUAUUGUUGAUGCUUAGAUUCGGAGAACCAAUUUUUUUUUCUUUUUUUUUUUGAGAGAGAAAAAAGAACCAACUUAGCUACCUUCUUCCUUAUUUGAUAUUUUUAUUUGGGUUAAUUGUAUAUAGUUCUAUGUAAAUGUAUCGAAUAGUAAGUAUAUUCUUAUAUAAAGUUUAACUUUUAACGCUCAUCACUACAAAAAAUCAGUGAUAUUCAUAUUUAUCUCUCUGGUUUGUUAUUGUUAGAAAACUAUUUACUUUUUAAUAGCAGAUAAGUGAAAUGUCAAUUUUACUUUCACAAAUAUAUUCCUCCAAAAACCCAACUGCUGUAAUCGUACAAAAAUAUCUCCUAAAAUAAUUUUCAAUGGUCAUCUUCUUCUUCAUCUUCUUCCUCUUUAAAAUCCAACCCAAUCACCGACCGUCCCUAGCGCAAGUGGUAAAAAGCUUGAUGGUUGGUACCCGGUCCCAAGUUCGAAUCCUAGUUGAUUCACAUUUCUAGCUAAGUUUAUUUCUAAAUGAAAUAAACGAAGCAGAUAGCAUGCUACCCAUCUCUUAAAAAAAAAAAAAAUCCAACCCAAUCCAUCAUUAUUGCAACCUCUUCUUUCACUUAUUUUCUCCUAAAUUUUUUCUUUUGAGCAAAAUAAGAAAAAAAGUAUAGAAAAAAUUGAAUGAAAAAGCAGCAUGUGUACGACGUGGGCAAAGCAACACAUAUUGCGGAUGAAUAAGGACGGAAAAAUUUUAAUUACAGAUUCGAAACUAGCAUGAAGGAGAGAAAGAAAAAGGAAGAAAAAAAUGAGUUUCCAUUGCUAAUAUUUUGAUUGAGAGAAGAAGGUAUAAUAUAAGAAGAUAGAAAUAUCAAAUUACCUCAUUGACUAAUUAGGGUUAAGUAAUUUACCUAUCGUUAAUUAAAUUUUUCUAACGGAUCCUAACGGCAGGGGCGUAUUUAAAAAUAUUAGGAUUUUUGUAGAAAUAAUAUAAAAAAGUUAAACUUUAUAGUGAUAUAUUUGUAAUUCGCUAUGUUUAUAGAGAGUUAUAUGUAAUUAACCUUUUUAAUUUUAGAGGUCUGAGGAUCGUACUUAAAAACUUUUAUAUAUUUA
Molecule: long non-coding RNA, 26145 nt
Filed under: Ananas comosus (pineapple)
Lineage: Eukaryota; Viridiplantae; Streptophyta; Magnoliopsida; Poales; Bromeliaceae
Description: long non-coding RNA (ACOM_LNC030789)
Source: RNAcentral